This 76-nucleotide transfer RNA is filed under the name Candidatus Nomurabacteria bacterium. Its description in RNAcentral is "tRNA-Lys". It matches the Rfam family "tRNA". From Rfam's summary of the family: Transfer RNA (tRNA) molecules are approximately 80 nucleotides in length. Lineage: Bacteria; Candidatus Nomuraibacteriota. The record is from RNAcentral.
GGGGCUGUAGCUCAGUUGGCAGAGCGAGGGACUCUUAAUCCUAAGGUCGCUGGUUCGAAUCCAGUCUGCCCCACCA